UACCAAGAUUGAGUCUGUUCGGGGUAACUAGAACUCUCGGUGUAGGGGUGAAAUCCGUAGAUAUCGAGAGGAAUGCCAAUCGCGAAAGCAGGUUACUAGGACAGCACUGACGCUCAGGGACGAAAGCUAGGGUAGCAAAAGGGAUUAGAGACCCCUGUAGUCCUAGCCGUAAACGAUGCUCGCUAGCUGGUCGCUCUUUUAGAGUGACUGGCGUAAGCUAACGCGUUAAGCGGGCCGCCUGGGAAUUACGAUCGCAAGAUUAAAACUCAAAGGAAUUGGCGGGGGAGCGUACAACCGGUGGAGCAUGUGGUUUAAUUCGAUACAAAGCGAACAACCUUACCUAGAUUUGACAUGUACCUGCAAAACUUGGGAUAACCAAGUCGCCUUCGAGGGUGGUACACAGGUGAUGCAUGGCUGUCGUCAGCUCGUGUCGUGAGACGUCCGCUUAAGUGCGGUAACGAGCGCAACCCUUGUUGUCAGUUAUAUGUAUCUGACAAGACUGCCCUUGCCAAGCAAGGGAGGAAGGAGAGGACGACGUCAAGUCAGUAUGUUCCUUAUAUCUAGGGCAACACACAUCCUACAAUGGGGUCGACAACGGGUAGCGACAGGGUAACCUUGAGCCAAUCCUUAUAAACGACCUCUCAGUUCGGAUUGAGGGCUGAAACUCGCCCUCAUGAAGAUGGAAUCGGUAGUAAUCGCAUAUCAUUAGGGUGCGGUGAAUACGUUCUCGCUCCUUGCACACACUGCCCGUCAAGCCAGCAAAGUCAGCAGCGCCCGAAG
Molecule: ribosomal RNA, 780 nt
Filed under: uncultured organism
Description: bacterial SSU rRNA
Rfam family: Bacterial small subunit ribosomal RNA
Source: RNAcentral